GGACAGGUGUCCGAGUGGCUGAAGGAGCCGGUCUCGAAAACCGGUAAACCCGCAAGGGUUUCGAGGGUUCGAAUCCCUCCCUGUCCG
RNAcentral lists this transfer RNA (87 nucleotides) under Gemmatimonadota bacterium. RNAcentral's name for it is "tRNA-Ser". It matches the Rfam family "tRNA". Rfam says of the family: Transfer RNA (tRNA) molecules are approximately 80 nucleotides in length. Their secondary structure includes four short double-helical elements and three loops (D, anti-codon, and T loops). Further hydrogen bonds mediate the characteristic L-shaped molecular structure. tRNAs have two regions of fundamental functional importance: the anti-codon, which is responsible for specific mRNA codon recognition, and the 3' end, to which the tRNAs corresponding amino acid is attached (by aminoacyl-tRNA synthetases). tRNAs cope with the degeneracy of the genetic code in two manners: having more than one tRNA (with a specific anti-codon) for a particular amino acid; and 'wobble' base-pairing, i.e. permitting non-standard base-pairing at the 3rd anti-codon position. The record is from RNAcentral. RNAcentral also lists the same sequence under 2 other names. Lineage: Bacteria; Pseudomonadati; Gemmatimonadota.